UUGGAAUAAGGGGUGGGUAAGGACGGUGCCAGCCGCCGCGGUAAUACCGGCGCCUCAAGUGGUAGUCGAUUUUAUUGGGCCUAAAACGUCCGUAGCCGGUUUGGUACAUUCGUGGGUAAAUCAACCAGCUUAACUGGUUGAAUUCUGCGAGGACGGCCAGACUUGGGACCGGGAGAGGUGUGGGGNACGCUCAGGGUAGGGGUAAAAUCCUGUCAUCCUGAGCGGACCACCUGUUGCGAAGGCGCCACACUAGAACGGAUCCGACGGUCAGGGACGAAGCCUAGGGGCACGAACCGGAUUAGAUACCCGGGUAGUCCUAGGUGUAAACGCUGUGGACUUGGUGUUGGGGAUCCUCCGAG
Molecule: ribosomal RNA, 359 nt
Filed under: uncultured archaeon
Lineage: Archaea
Description: bacterial SSU rRNA
Rfam family: Archaeal small subunit ribosomal RNA
Source: RNAcentral